RNAcentral lists this ribosomal RNA (656 nucleotides) under uncultured Methanosaeta sp. Its description in RNAcentral is "bacterial SSU rRNA". It matches the Rfam family "Archaeal small subunit ribosomal RNA", at positions 223 to 879 of the family's 1478-position model. Lineage: Archaea; Methanobacteriati; Methanobacteriota; Methanomicrobia; Methanotrichales; Methanotrichaceae. The record is from RNAcentral.
UAUCAGGUAGUAGUGGGUGUAGCGUACCUACUAGCCUACGACGGGUACGGGUUGUGAGAGCAAGAGCCCGGGGAUGGAUUCUGAGACACGAAUCCAGGCCCUACGGGGUGCAGCAGGCGCGAAAACUUUACAAUGCUGGAAACAGCGAUAAGGGGACCUCGAGUGCCAGGUUACAAAUCUGGCUGUCGUGAUGCCUAAAAAGCAUUGCAUAGCAAGGGCCGGGCAAGACCGGUGCCAGCCGCCGCGGUAACACCGGCGGCUCGAGUGGUAACCGUUAUUAUUGGGUCUAAAGGGUCUGUAGCCGGCCGGAUAAGUCUCUUGGGAAAUCCAGCAGCUCAACUGUUGGGCUUUCAGGAGAUACUGUCUGGCUCGAGGCCGGGAGAGGUGAGAGGUACUUCAGGGGUAGGGGUGAAAUCUUGUAAUCCUUGAAGGACCACCAGUGGCGAAGGCGUCUCACCAGAACGGACCUGACGGCAAGGGACGAAAGCUAGGGGCACGAACCGGAUUAGAUACCCGGGUAGUCCUAGCCGUAAACGAUACUCGCUAGGUGUCGGCCACGGUGCGACCGUUGUCGGUGCCGUAGGGAAGCCGUGAAGCGAGCCACCUGGGAAGUACGGCCGCAAGGCUGAAACUUAAAGGAAUUGGCGGGGGAGCAC